RNAcentral lists this RNase P RNA (401 nucleotides) under Bacillota bacterium. RNAcentral's name for it is "Firmicutes bacterium (gut metagenome) RNase P RNA component class A". It matches the Rfam family "Bacterial RNase P class A". From Rfam's summary of the family: Ribonuclease P (RNase P) is a ubiquitous endoribonuclease, found in archaea, bacteria and eukarya as well as chloroplasts and mitochondria. Its best characterised activity is the generation of mature 5'-ends of tRNAs by cleaving the 5'-leader elements of precursor-tRNAs. Cellular RNase Ps are ribonucleoproteins. The record is from RNAcentral. Lineage: Bacteria; Bacillati; Bacillota.
CGACCGGGUCGGGCGAUCGCGUGAUAUCACGCCGAAAGGUAUUAUCAUGAGGAAAGUCCGGGCUUCAUAGGGCAGGAUAACGGAUAACGUCCGCCGAGGGCGACCUCCGGGAAAGUGCAACAGAGAUAUACCGCCCCUUUUGGGGUAAGGGUGGAAAGGCGAGGUAAGAGCUCACCCGAGCCUGUGGUAACAUAGGCCCGCUGUAAACCCUAUCCGAAGCAACACCUUACGGGACCGCAUAUGCGGCGUACCGCGUACACAGCUGUAUGCCGCGUGUGCGGCUGUCUGCCCGGCAGAAUCCCGUUUGUGUGGCAGCGGCUGUGCCGCGAGCCAUGCGGUGACGCAUGGCAAAGAUAGAUGACCGCCGAUUACAGAACCCGGCUUAUAGAUCCGGUCGCACC